Molecule: transfer RNA, 65 nt
Filed under: Holotrichia sp. NS-2020
Lineage: Eukaryota; Metazoa; Arthropoda; Insecta; Coleoptera; Scarabaeidae
Description: tRNA-Trp
Source: RNAcentral
AAGGAUUUAAGUUAAGUAAAACUUAGAACCUUCAAAGUUCUCUAUAAAGAUAUCUUUAAGCCUUA